RNAcentral lists this ribosomal RNA (2904 nucleotides) under Escherichia coli. Its description in RNAcentral is "23S ribosomal RNA". It matches the Rfam family "Bacterial large subunit ribosomal RNA". The record is from RNAcentral. Lineage: Bacteria; Pseudomonadati; Pseudomonadota; Gammaproteobacteria; Enterobacterales; Enterobacteriaceae.
GGUUAAGCGACUAAGCGUACACGGUGGAUGCCCUGGCAGUCAGAGGCGAUGAAGGACGUGCUAAUCUGCGAUAAGCGUCGGUAAGGUGAUAUGAACCGUUAUAACCGGCGAUUUCCGAAUGGGGAAACCCAGUGUGUUUCGACACACUAUCAUUAACUGAAUCCAUAGGUUAAUGAGGCGAACCGGGGGAACUGAAACAUCUAAGUACCCCGAGGAAAAGAAAUCAACCGAGAUUCCCCCAGUAGCGGCGAGCGAACGGGGAGGAGCCCAGAGCCUGAAUCAGUGUGUGUGUUAGUGGAAGCGUCUGGAAAGGCGCGCGAUACAGGGUGACAGCCCCGUACACAAAAAUGCACAUGCUGUGAGCUCGAUGAGUAGGGCGGGACACGUGGUAUCCUGUCUGAAUAUGGGGGGACCAUCCUCCAAGGCUAAAUACUCCUGACUGACCGAUAGUGAACCAGUACCGUGAGGGAAAGGCGAAAAGAACCCCGGCGAGGGGAGUGAAAAAGAACCUGAAACCGUGUACGUACAAGCAGUGGGAGCCUCUUUUAUGGGGUGACUGCGUACCUUUUGUAUAAUGGGUCAGCGACUUAUAUUCUGUAGCAAGGUUAACCGAAUAGGGGAGCCGAAGGGAAACCGAGUCUUAACUGGGCGUUAAGUUGCAGGGUAUAGACCCGAAACCCGGUGAUCUAGCCAUGGGCAGGUUGAAGGUUGGGUAACACUAACUGGAGGACCGAACCGACUAAUGUUGAAAAAUUAGCGGAUGACUUGUGGCUGGGGGUGAAAGGCCAAUCAAACCGGGAGAUAGCUGGUUCUCCCCGAAAGCUAUUUAGGUAGCGCCUCGUGAAUUCAUCUCCGGGGGUAGAGCACUGUUUCGGCAAGGGGGUCAUCCCGACUUACCAACCCGAUGCAAACUGCGAAUACCGGAGAAUGUUAUCACGGGAGACACACGGCGGGUGCUAACGUCCGUCGUGAAGAGGGAAACAACCCAGACCGCCAGCUAAGGUCCCAAAGUCAUGGUUAAGUGGGAAACGAUGUGGGAAGGCCCAGACAGCCAGGAUGUUGGCUUAGAAGCAGCCAUCAUUUAAAGAAAGCGUAAUAGCUCACUGGUCGAGUCGGCCUGCGCGGAAGAUGUAACGGGGCUAAACCAUGCACCGAAGCUGCGGCAGCGACGCUUAUGCGUUGUUGGGUAGGGGAGCGUUCUGUAAGCCUGCGAAGGUGUACUGUGAGGUAUGCUGGAGGUAUCAGAAGUGCGAAUGCUGACAUAAGUAACGAUAAAGCGGGUGAAAAGCCCGCUCGCCGGAAGACCAAGGGUUCCUGUCCAACGUUAAUCGGGGCAGGGUGAGUCGACCCCUAAGGCGAGGCCGAAAGGCGUAGUCGAUGGGAAACAGGUUAAUAUUCCUGUACUUGGUGUUACUGCGAAGGGGGGACGGAGAAGGCUAUGUUGGCCGGGCGACGGUUGUCCCGGUUUAAGCGUGUAGGCUGGUUUUCCAGGCAAAUCCGGAAAAUCAAGGCUGAGGCGUGAUGACGAGGCACUACGGUGCUGAAGCAACAAAUGCCCUGCUUCCAGGAAAAGCCUCUAAGCAUCAGGUAACAUCAAAUCGUACCCCAAACCGACACAGGUGGUCAGGUAGAGAAUACCAAGGCGCUUGAGAGAACUCGGGUGAAGGAACUAGGCAAAAUGGUGCCGUAACUUCGGGAGAAGGCACGCUGAUAUGUAGGUGAAGUCCCUCGCGGAUGGAGCUGAAAUCAGUCGAAGAUACCAGCUGGCUGCAACUGUUUAUUAAAAACACAGCACUGUGCAAACACGAAAGUGGACGUAUACGGUGUGACGCCUGCCCGGUGCCGGAAGGUUAAUUGAUGGGGUUAGCGCAAGCGAAGCUCUUGAUCGAAGCCCCGGUAAACGGCGGCCGUAACUAUAACGGUCCUAAGGUAGCGAAAUUCCUUGUCGGGUAAGUUCCGACCUGCACGAAUGGCGUAAUGAUGGCCAGGCUGUCUCCACCCGAGACUCAGUGAAAUUGAACUCGCUGUGAAGAUGCAGUGUACCCGCGGCAAGACGGAAAGACCCCGUGAACCUUUACUAUAGCUUGACACUGAACAUUGAGCCUUGAUGUGUAGGAUAGGUGGGAGGCUUAGAAGUGUGGACGCCAGUCUGCAUGGAGCCGACCUUGAAAUACCACCCUUUAAUGUUUGAUGUUCUAACGUUGACCCGUAAUCCGGGUUGCGGACAGUGUCUGGUGGGUAGUUUGACUGGGGCGGUCUCCUCCUAAAGAGUAACGGAGGAGCACGAAGGUUGGCUAAUCCUGGUCGGACAUCAGGAGGUUAGUGCAAUGGCAUAAGCCAGCUUGACUGCGAGCGUGACGGCGCGAGCAGGUGCGAAAGCAGGUCAUAGUGAUCCGGUGGUUCUGAAUGGAAGGGCCAUCGCUCAACGGAUAAAAGGUACUCCGGGGAUAACAGGCUGAUACCGCCCAAGAGUUCAUAUCGACGGCGGUGUUUGGCACCUCGAUGUCGGCUCAUCACAUCCUGGGGCUGAAGUAGGUCCCAAGGGUAUGGCUGUUCGCCAUUUAAAGUGGUACGCGAGCUGGGUUUAGAACGUCGUGAGACAGUUCGGUCCCUAUCUGCCGUGGGCGCUGGAGAACUGAGGGGGGCUGCUCCUAGUACGAGAGGACCGGAGUGGACGCAUCACUGGUGUUCGGGUUGUCAUGCCAAUGGCACUGCCCGGUAGCUAAAUGCGGAAGAGAUAAGUGCUGAAAGCAUCUAAGCACGAAACUUGCCCCGAGAUGAGUUCUCCCUGACUCCUUGAGAGUCCUGAAGGAACGUUGAAGACGACGACGUUGAUAGGCCGGGUGUGUAAGCGCAGCGAUGCGUUGAGCUAACCGGUACUAAUGAACCGUGAGGCUUAACCUU